UGGAUGGAAAUAAAGCUGAAAUGUUGAUCUUUUGUCUUAUGUUCAUAUUUUAAUAUCAAACCCAAAUGUUUUCAGCCUACAGCAGAAAUAGAGGGAUUGACCUCAAUGUUCCAAUACUUUUGAAGGUCAGUGAUGGAGUUCUACAGAUCUGCUCUGGGGGUCCUGAUCUUAUCGAUCAUCAGUACUGGAUCUGAAUCAGCUGCUCCUGUAGUGAAGGUGGAGUAUAAAGGUUCUGCUGUUCUGCCCUGUACUGAUAAAUGUUCUGGAGUGGUCAGCUGGACUCCCUCUCAUGAUUUUUCUGAUAUUCUGGCUCAGUGUGAUCAGACUUCCUGCAGAUCAGUGAAGGAGGGAUAUCAGAUGAUCCAUGAUCAUUAUCUGCAGGGAGAUUUCUCUCUGAUCAUCCCUGAAGCUGAUUACAGGAAGAGAGGACAUUACACCUGUGACUGUGAU
Astyanax mexicanus (Mexican tetra) is the source of this 450-nucleotide long non-coding RNA. RefSeq lists it as uncharacterized. Lineage: Eukaryota; Metazoa; Chordata; Actinopteri; Characiformes; Acestrorhamphidae. The record is from RefSeq and is a predicted model, not a curated record. The transcript is spliced from 3 exons.